GGGGACGUGGCCAAGCCAGGCAUGAGGACCGAGGCGAUCAGUAGAUCGGGGGUUCAAAUCCCUCCGUCCCCA
This 72-nucleotide transfer RNA is filed under the name Halobacteriales archaeon QS_8_69_73. RNAcentral's name for it is "tRNA-Arg". It matches the Rfam family "tRNA". Rfam says of the family: Transfer RNA (tRNA) molecules are approximately 80 nucleotides in length. The record is from RNAcentral. Lineage: Archaea; Methanobacteriati; Methanobacteriota; Halobacteria; Halobacteriales.